RNAcentral lists this long non-coding RNA (371 nucleotides) under Salvia miltiorrhiza (redroot sage). Its description in RNAcentral is "long non-coding RNA (SMIL_LNC003440)". The record is from RNAcentral. Lineage: Eukaryota; Viridiplantae; Streptophyta; Magnoliopsida; Lamiales; Lamiaceae.
AGGAACCACAACUCAGUUUGCCGAACAAUCUUUCGAGAACAAGAGGCAAACUAUCUGGGGAAACAAGAUAGCGGGGAGCAAGGAGACUCGCCGCAAAUUCUGCAAUAUGGCUCAUGUAAGCCAUUGGAUCGAGAGAGUCUGCGACCAAUGUUCGUUGCAGAAAGAACCUGAAUUCGGCAAAGGUUUCCUCCCGAAACCUGACAGAAGAAGGUUCCGGUCUGAUGAACACGACGAACGUCAGACUCCAAAGGGAAGAACUCCGCGGGCACCAAAAAAGUAAGGUGGCCGACAAAGCAAUGUGAAUCAUGUGAUUCACAGCAAGGAUCGCACCCACAAAAGAAACGACAAAAGUGGGUGGAAGAACAGGAGGA